UACGUAGGGUGCGAGCGUUGUCCGGAAUUAUUGGGCGUAAAGGGCUCGUAGGCGGUCUGUCGCGUCGAAAGUGAAAACCCAGGGCUUAACCCUGGGCCUGCUUCCGAUACGGGCAGACUAGAGGUAUGCAGGGGAGAACGGAAUUCCUGGUGUAGCGGUGAAAUGCGCAGAUAUCAGGAGGAACACCGGUGGCGAAGGCGUUUCUCUGGGCAUUACCUGACGCUGAGGAGCGAAAGCGUGGGGAGCGAACAGG
Molecule: ribosomal RNA, 253 nt
Filed under: uncultured bacterium
Lineage: Bacteria
Description: partial 16S ribosomal RNA
Rfam family: Bacterial small subunit ribosomal RNA
Source: RNAcentral